Antechinus flavipes (yellow-footed antechinus) is the source of this 1098-nucleotide long non-coding RNA. RefSeq lists it as uncharacterized. The record is from RefSeq and is a predicted model, not a curated record. The transcript has 3 exons. Lineage: Eukaryota; Metazoa; Chordata; Mammalia; Dasyuromorphia; Dasyuridae.
CUGGGCAGGGGCUGAGGGCCUGGGCACGGACAAGCCUGGUGUUGCCCAGUCGGGAGGGGCAGAGAACAGGACUUGGAGGCUGUUUCUGGAUAGUGAGGGUGUCCAGGGGCGGUGGGGCUGAGGACGAUUCCUGUUCCCAGGCUGCAACCACUGCAGGCGGACCCAGCGCCAUAGUGGAGUGAGGAAGACGGGCCCUGAGUACUUUUACUCUAUGCCCCCAGGAGGAUGGGGCUAUUUCUCCUCCCGCCCGGGUUCAGAGGGUUGGCCAGAUCCUCCCCUGGCUGUGCUCGGCAGUACCCCAAAUCAGGCUGAGGAUGGAGGGUGGGGGACCCAGGAACGGGACACCAACCAAGUCUGGGGCUGGGGCUGGGGCCGGCGGGCACUUCCCAUCCCCUUCCAGAAGAAGCACAUGAGGGACUCAGGCAAGAAACUGGAGUAAAGCUGAGGUUGGUUGGGGAAGGGACGGAAACCGGAGAUGUCCCUCUGAGGGAACCGGCCAGAGCUGGGAAGUGAAACGUAGGGAACCCCCAAGAGACCAGCCAAGCAGAGAGGCCGGUACAGGAGGAGAGGAGACCAUUGGUCUGGCCAGGAAAGCGCCAGUAUUCCUCUCCUGAAAAUCACAGACCCACCCGUCGGUGUCCGUUCUGACACAGCACCCCAAACUCGCUGCUCUUCCCUGGCUGUGGAGACACACGCAUCUGGACACGUCCCCCGAUACACGCAGCUCACCUUGUUUAGGGAAGGCACGUAGUCAAUUAAUUCAACCCAUCCAGUUUCACAGCGGAUUUUUCAGUCACUCUAAACCCUCCUCGGGAAUCCGAAGAUCCGUUUGUUUUCACGAUCUUUUGGCAUGACCUGACUCUAGCUUGGUCUUUGAAGUCACCAUUGAGGGCUACGCCUUGUGGAGAAGGGGCCCGCCAUCGCUGGCGGCAACACUGUCAAGCUGCCACCGACUGCUACUGAUGAGCUUCCCUGUUCCUUGAUUUCUGGAGUUCCUUGUGGGAAUAUAUCUUCUCAAUAUACCAUUUAACUCCCGGCUUUUUUUGAUCUCCAAUUGUUUCUUUUGAAUAAAGUAUUUCCAUCCAUUGUCAUUUUUAA